Schistocephalus solidus is the source of this 114-nucleotide non-coding RNA. The record is from Rfam. Lineage: Eukaryota; Metazoa; Platyhelminthes; Cestoda; Diphyllobothriidea; Diphyllobothriidae.
UCCAGCUAUGGCGAUAUGGUCCCCUCAACAAUAAUGGGCAAGAUUGUUGGUGGACUGUGUUCCCUGUCUGGUGUGCUUGUGAUCGCACUUCCGGUCCCAGUCAUUGUCUCCAAC